CGGACGGGUGAGUAACGCGUGGGUAACCUGCCUCAUUCAGGGGGAUAACAGUUAGAAAUGGCUGCUAAUACCGCAUAAGACCACAGUACUGCAUGGUACAGUGGUAAAAACUCCGGUGGUAUGAGAUGGACCCGCGUCUGAUUAGGUAGUUGGUGAGGUAACGGCCCACCAAGCCGACGAUCAGUAGCCGACCUGAGAGGGUGACCGGCCACAUUGGGACUGAGACACGGCCCAG
Molecule: ribosomal RNA, 235 nt
Filed under: uncultured bacterium
Lineage: Bacteria
Description: partial 16S ribosomal RNA
Rfam family: Bacterial small subunit ribosomal RNA
Source: RNAcentral